Castor canadensis (American beaver) is the source of this 8943-nucleotide non-coding RNA. NCBI's taxonomy places the organism in Eukaryota, Metazoa, Chordata, Mammalia, Rodentia, Castoridae. The record is from RefSeq and is a predicted model, not a curated record.
UGUAGCACAGAAGUGUGGAGUGCCUGCUUAGCAAACUGGAAGCUCUGAGUUCAUAACCCCAAUCCCACCAAAAAAGAGAGAAAUGCUUUGAUUGGCUAUGGGAUUGAAAUUGAUUUUUUGGGGGAGGAGGUACUGGGGUUUGAAUUCAGGGCCUUAUGCUUGCUAGAUAGGUGCUCUACCACUUGAGGUGUUCCACCAGCCCCUUAAAUUUUAUUUUAUUUUAUUUUUUGGCGGUACUGGAGUAUGAACUCAGGGUCUUGUGCUUAGUAGACAAGUAUUCUUAUGAUUUGAGCCACCCCACCAGCACUCUUUCUCUCUCGAUGUUACAGCCACUAGGAGCCUGGAGCAGCAACCCCUGAAAUUUUACAUUGGCCAUUAUAAUACAACUUGGUGAUAUCACAUGCCAUCAGGAACCAUGCCACUUGCAAGGACUGAGCUGCCUGGUCCAGUGAGGUUAUUAGAGAAUUGAAAAAGGAUCAAAUAAGCAUCCUGCAUAUGGUUUUCCAGUCAUCGUGAAGUCUUAGUUACCUGCUUAGUGAGUUCACCAGAGUCCCAGGAUAAAUUACUGUUGUCAUUGAUGGCCUUGUGAAGCAGUUGGGAAGCCUUGGACCUUGUGAAUGCUAUGCAAGCACUCUACUUUUGAGCUACAUUUCUGGCUCUGUGAAAGAUAUCUUUGAAAAGUGUUUUAGAGUCUGUCAGAUCUUCUAUGUGAGUGACUGCAAACAGAAGAGGAGUGGGGUACUGUCAGUGAUUAAGGUAACACAGUGAAUAAUCAGGAUUCUGAGGAACAUUUCAUUGGUAUCUCAAAAUGUGAACUGGAGAAAGGAACAGGUAUCUCACUCAGUCAGUGCUGGGCCUCACACAUGCUAGAUGGUGUAAUGAAGAUCAGUUAGGCUCAGUAACAUUGCUCUCAACUGUCAUAGAAUGAGGACAUUCUCAUUCUCAGUCAUGCCUGGGUUAGAGGUAAGAGUGAGGUCCUUUUCACUAUCCAUUGGUGACAAUUUUUAUGAAUAAUAACAAAGCAGUAACAGAAAAGUUCAUAGCAUAAAUAUGUUAGGAUUAAUCCAGGUGUCUGUAGUAGGACACCUGGAUAUGACCAUAUUUGAUUUUCAAACCUGGCAUGAACAAUGUACCCAUAGAAAAAUGACCUUUGAAAAGGCCGUUUCCAGGCUGCAGGUGUGGCUUAACUGUAGAGCUCCUGCCUAACAAGUGCAAGGCCCUGAGUUCAAGCCCCAGUACUGGCCCCCCAAAAAAGAUAAAAUCUCAUUUUGUCCCCAAAGUUGGCUUGUUUUUAGGGAUACCUAAACCUUAAAUUAUUCUAAUGAUGUAGUCAUCUUACCAAUUCUAACGUUGCUAUUGUUUUUAUUAAAUUUCAUAGAUCAUCAAACCAGUGAAGUUCAAAACUUGGCCAAGAAUGGCUAGCUAAUAAAUCGUGGGUUCCUUUCUGAACAUUUCUGUUCAAGUUGCUCUACUUAUUCUACUGUAUUAUUUUUGUACUUUCCUACAUACCCUUGACCCUUGGGGUAUUUCUGUUCAUGAUGAAUCUGUCCUAAUAACCUUACUAUAAAUAUGUUUUUGAAGGUAUGGCUCAAGCAGUAAAGCACUGAGUUCAAACCUUAGUACUGCAAAAAAAAAAAUACAUAUUUUUACAACUUAACCACACUCCAUGAAAGAAGCUCUUUUUUUUUUUUUGUGGUACUGAGGUUUGAACUCAGGGCUUCAGUCUUGUUGGGCAGGCGCUCUACUGCUUGAGCCACUCUGGCAGCCCACAGAUUGCCUAUUGAUUCCUUUAACUGGGUACCAGGACAAGAGAUUCUUCCGCAGCAGUCUACCAUCAAGUGAACCAUUUUGCCUUAGAUAUUUCUUUACAGGUUCAGUCCCCUCCAUCUUUAGGUCUUCUGCUUCCAUUCAACUUCCCAUCUCAUACACUGAGGAUUGCGAAUCUAGGUCAGGUGAGGAAUCAUUCCACCCCUGGAACCUUUCUGGAAAGAUUGCUAUCUUUCUAAAAGAAGGGAAAGUUUUAAUUCAUUUAAGCUACAGAAUAAGUUAUAAAUUAUAAUGCUUUGUGUAAUUGAUUUUAAAGAAAACCUACUUCUUUUCAAAAGCAAACAUCUAUGUCUGUAUUUCUAUUUAUUAUUAUCUGCUCUGGUCUUACAGAUACUCUCUUCCAUCCUCUAGCAACUUUGUUAUUGGUACUAUUUUCACAUACAUUGUAUAGGUAAGUGUGAGUUGAAUAGAUAAGUGUGAAUUGGAGAGAAAAUAAUUCUAACAAGGUCAGAAUGCAGUCUUUACUCCCAUUUCCUGCAUAGGGAGCAAGAAAGGUUUCUCCCUUUUUCCCCCAUUUUUCCCCACUUUUAUCCUGUUGUACUAAAUUUCUUUCCUAAUAAGCUUUACUGUCAUUUUCACUAUUAAAAAAGAAAAAAAAAAAAACAAUGCUUUUUAAGUUACAGUUUGAAUUGUUUAGGAUAUAAUUAACCGGAGAAAAAGAAAUAUGGAUAACUUCACACACUUGAAAAUUUCCCAAUAUUUGCCAAGCAAAAGUAUAUGCUCAUACAAUGACCCACCAGAAGAGUGAUGUAGGGUGACUUAGGGAGCCCUUUGUAGAUUGUCCCCACUUAUCUUUAGCCUUGUACCACAUCACCAGUGUUCUCUCAUUUUCACAAUGCCUAUAGAAGGUAGUCUGUCCUGUGUCCUGGAAGUCACUUUGUUUCAUCUUGGCUCCUGAGCAUUGUCAAGUAUUGGGGAUUAUAAACAUUUUUACCUGCCAUUGGAUGCCUAUUGUCCCCUACACCAAAACUGAGGCAGAAUCUGGGAGUUGCUUUCAGGUACAGGAACAAUGUGGUAGGACAUGAGUUCCCUUGCCAUUAGACUCGCAUGGUGGACAACCUUCUGCUUCUCCAAAAGAUAUGCUGCGUCUUCAGAAAAUUAAUCCAACUCUUGGGGCCACUGCUACUUCCAGAGUUGUUCUAGGUGUAGCAGUGCCCCGAGAGCCUCAAGGUAAGUGGUUUGAGAGGGGGAAUACAAGUUCGUAGACAGUAUCAGCAUCAGCUUAGUAGGUAACUACCUAACUGGGCCCCAUCAGUUUUUAGGUACGAGCAGUGAGAUCUGAGGGCUGAGUGUGGGGUGGCUUGUCAAGGCUUCUCUGGGCUAGAUGAAGACUCAAGCAAACUGUGAGUACUUCGAGUACUUUGACUUUUGAAGUUUAAGGUAUUUUAGACUCCUGGCUUCACAUCUUUUAAAUAACAAAAGGGAAAUUGUAGAAGUGGGAUAGUGAAUUGAUGUUACUAGGAAUUCUAUUUGAAAAUUUUUGGAUAAGGGAGAUAGGUAAGGGUAUGGGCCUAAUGGUUUGGGACAAGAGGGAAAGAGGAUCCAUCUGGAAUCUGUUUUAAAGAAGAAAAAUAUGCAUGGUACUUUGAAGAGACUGAGCAUCAAUCCAAGAAGAAAUGUGAUCUCAGCAGCCACCAUCACAUCAUCCCCAACCCUACCCCCCAACACACACCUUGUUGACAAGGUAUAGUCCCGUCCCACCCCCCCAUGCCAGUUUCAUGUAGUUUGGGACUCAGCAUAUGCCAGACAAUUCAGACAGUGAGGGACCAGUCCAUUUAGGCCACCAGAGCAGUAUGGGAGGGAUGGUUUCCUGUAGUGUGAGCUGUAGUGUCAAGGGGGUGGGCAGCAGCAGAGGAGGUACUUGAGGCAGCAUGGGGGGAAGCAUACAUAUCCUUAAAAAGCAAAGGACACAGGAUUUUAGAACUCAUAAAGUUCCCCUAAAGUCACGGAUAGUUGCAGUUUUAUUACAUAGUCCUUCGCAGUGACUACGGUUAUUAGCAGUGAUAUUGAAAAAAAAAAUACUCACUUGCAACUUCCCUAUUUCACUUGUGACCUAUUUAUUGUAUUGAAAAUGAAGUUCAUGAACACAACCCUCAUUAUAUAUCAGAAGUCCUAAAUUUAGAUGCCAACAUUAUUAUAUACAGGCUUCCUCUCUGCCCCUUUUCUAAUUCCAAGUACCUGUGGUGCCAGCCUGUGUCCUGUCAGUGUUCCUGAAUACUUACUAUUGUUCAAUUUUUGGGUUGGUGAGAGGAGCUAAAAUUGGAAAUUGGCAUGUAUUAAGAUCCUAAAGAUUUUAGUUACCCAAAGAAUCUUAUUGUUUGGUAAGUACAGGACAUUUACACAAUAAAUACAAGUAUGGAUAUUAGAAGCCGUCUGCUUCAGCAACUUGAUUUCAAGCACUUUCUUCUUUUUAAUUGGUGGUGCUGGGAUCUCAGCUCAGGGCCUCAUGCUCACCAGACAGGCGUUCUUCACUUGAGCCACUCCCCCAGCCCAAGUACUUCUUAUUUUCCAUCUAUUAUACUUGAUGCGGUUAAGAGAAGGUAACUGAGGAGUUUCGUUUAUCUUGGAACUACGUUCAUCAGUUAAGAGGAAGCAAGUCUUUAAAUAUAGAAUGCUUCCACAAGAUGAUAACCAGUACCCAACAUUUGUUCCCUAGGGAAUAGUGCACCAUGUAAGCAAAGUCUUUGGUCAUCUAUAUGGAGUUCCAAGUGUCCCUUAGUUGUUAGGGGAUCUAGAAAGGGUGUGUUUGGCUUUGCUGUUUUUUUCACUGGCCUCUGGGAGGACCAGGAAGCUGUUCAGAUAUAUGCUACUAUGCUGAUCUCUAUGCUCAUUGUAGAGACUUACUGUAUACUGUGUCUUAUUUUGUUUUUUAGGGGAGGGGGUGGUUGGGAUUUGAACUCAUGGCCUUGUGCUUGCUAGGCAGGCACUCUGCCACUUGAGCCACACCCCUAGCAGUUUUUGCUAUAGUUAUUUUUCAAAUAUGGUCUUACAAUUUUGCUGAGGUGGACAUGGACCACCCACCAUCCUCCUAUUUAUUCCUGCCACUUAGCUCGGUUGACAGGCUCAUGCUACCACUCCCAGCCAUUGGUUGAGAUGGGUGUCAUCAGCUUUCAACCCAGGCUGGCUUCAAACCAUGAUCUUCCAGUUCUACACCACUCAAGUAGCUAGCAUUAUAGGCAUGAGCCAUGGAAUCCGGCCCUUGUAUACUGCCUUUUAAUUUAGUACAGUCAUGAUGUCAGGAGGUCCUUGGUGGGAUUCCACAAUAAAAGGUUUAAAAAAUUCCAUACCUUAUAUGAGGACAAGAGUGCACAAUGAAGUAUGUGGUAUGGUUUUGUAAUAGAAGACUGCUUGUGGGCAUUGACUUCAAGAAUGUUUGCAAAAGGUUUACAAUGAAGACAAUAAAGAAUACACUUCAUGUCAUCGGGAGGAGGAAUGAGCCUGAAGGUAGUAGCUCCUUUUGCUUGUGCUACAUGUAGUCACAUGAGCUUUGUGAUGCUACAAACAUUAAAAAGGCAAUUUGUUGAUUACUGCCAGCUUGAAUGGCCAGUGCACCUCCUAUUCCAUACCUAUAUUGAAUUAGCUGGUCUUUGGCAGGAUGAGGUGCUUACUGUGCUGUUUUUCGGGCCCUGAAAACUUCACUUAUGCUUACUCAAUCAAAUCCAACAUCACCACAUAUUAACAGCAGUCAAGAAAAUAAUGAUUUGGUUUAUUUUAUGCUUUGAAAAAGUAACAGCCAGAUGUGGUCAUCAUGCCUGUAAUCCCAGCCUGGGAUGCUGAGAUAGGGUCAUCAAAAGAAAAAAAAAGAAAAGUAACAAUCUGGAACAGGUGAAUCAAACUGACUUCAGAACCUGAAUUUAGACUACAGCACAACAAAUGUUAUUUUCAAGUGAAAAGCACUGGGUUUUAGGUAUGGAGACCUGCAGACGACACAUUUCUACAACAGGGGGAAAGGGGAAAUAAAUACUUUUUCUUCUGUGUCCUUUGUGGGUGGGAUUCAUGGAUGCACUUCCCUGCUUGGCUGCCUCAAUAGUGUGAAGGAACCCCUGUUGCAGUACAGAUUUUUUUCACCAUUGGAAGUUAAAGGUUAGUUUUCCUAAAUUUGGUCUGUUUCCUACCUUGAAGCAUAUAAUCUAGAAAUGCACAGGUCCACAGAAUAAUCUACAUAGACUCCAUCCAUAGGAAGAGACUUUCUAGCAAAGAGCCUCUUAUUAUAACUGAUAGAUGAAAUCAGAAUCACCUAAUUACAACAUUAAAGUUAAGCAGCAAAGCUUAAGGUGAUCACUGGCAAUCAAAGUACAAGAGUCCCAAAAUGGUUGAAUCCCUAAUUAGUACCUAUUUUUAAAGUAUUCGUUACCUGAAAAAGUUCUGAUACAAUUUUGUUUGACACAAAUUCCUGUUCUUUGGAAACAAUACAAAUUGGUGAAAUAACAAAUUUAGGGACAAUUUUCUGUAAGUAGGCAAGAAUCUUUAGGCACUAGCUUUUUUUUUUACUCUUAGCCAAUUGGGAAUUUUCUCCUGUGGUUCUGAAUCUUCCCCUACCAAGGCAGGGUUAUGUUUUGCCAGUUAACUAUUGUGUAAAGUGACCUAAUGAUGUACAACUACUAUUUUCAAGCAUUCUGUUUAGGACAUAAUUUUGUAAGGCUGAAGAGACAAGUUCCAGCAUUGAUGAUACAGCUAAACAUAGCAGUUUUUUAUGAUUGCCUUUGGAGUAAUUUGGCUGUUGGAAGGGGUGUUAUUGGCAUAACACUUUCCUAGUCUUGCAAUUUCCCCUUCUGUACAUGGUAAAGCACUGUACAUGUUGCUGGGCUGCAUUGCUGAAAUCCACUGCUGGAGAAGUACUAUCCUGAAGUAGGAUAACCAACUUUAGAAAGGUACCACUGGUUUCUAGCCUCAUUGAUUUUCUAAAUCAGAUUUAAGGCCCAUUUGAUGGCUAAAAUUGGCAAGUGGAGUGUUUGGGAGUAUAUAAGUUGACUUUCCAGUUUGGGCUUCUCUGCAGAAACAAUGCAUAUCUUUCAUGGAUAAUUGUGGCUUUAUCCUUUGAAAUGCCUGGUGCAUAAGUGUCUUCUGAAGUUUAAACUUAGCCAAAUUUUAGAAGUAAAAUUUUUCUACAAAUUCAGAUCUUCAGGACUUUAAUUCUUGGAGAUUGAUGCUCACACAUGACCAGCUGACCGUGCUGUUUUUAAGUGCAGUGGUGUCCAGUUACACUUACCAAUCCAUCUUAGCUAGUGGAGAUGCUUAUUUCCAUCCUGUACAAAUAGGCACUGGGUACAAUAAAACUUCCCAAAUAAGAAGAAAGUGUUGGCACCUGUUUUUUAAAUGGUGAGCCAUGAACGUGGAAAUUUGUGUUCCCUAAUGUACCUUUUGCUAUCGGUUGUCAGUUUUCCGAGGGACAUUUCAUCUGGUAAAUUGGUAGAUCUAAAGCCUGGGUACCUGUAUUUUACCUAAUUUGUGUAAUCAAUGGUAUUGUGUAAACAAUGCUGUAUGCCUAUAACUUGACCACCUACAUUCUAUAGGUAGAGUUCUCUGUCCCUUCAGUUGCCCCUUUAGGAAAAAUGUGAAAAAUAUAUGGUUUUUCAAGAUGUAUUUUAAUAUUCCCAGGUAAUUGUGAAGGCUUUUAGAGGAAAUUAUUGAAUAUAUUUCAUAGUUUUAGGUACCUUAUGGGCCUUGUUUUAAUGGAGGGGGGACAGUUUUCCUGUAAUUUGCUUUUUCUAGUGUACAUGUCUUUAGACGCCUAAAAGUAGACCCUGUAGAAGUAAUGGACACAGAGCAACAACAUAAAUAUGUAAUACAACAUUUGUUCACACAGUUGUGCCUUUGGCAAAAGAAUUCUGUCAGAAUGCUACAUAAUUUCCUUGUAGCAUUACCAUAUUAUUCAGCCACUAGUGUAUUUUGUUGUUGUGUCUUUUUUUAUUAGGCACAUGUUUAAAUAGUUUUUAGAAAUACUCUGAUAGGAUUUUCAGGCCCAAUAAUUUGUUUCCACUGUAUUUUCAGGAAUGAUAAUUUAGUGAUGUCUAUGAUGUAUUCUCCAUUUAUUUUGUACCUAUACAUCUUGUGAACUGUUGGCAAUAAGCAAUGAAUGGAGAUUUAUUAGUGCUUGAUUUUUCCAUAGUUUGGUAGUGGUACUGGUUCUUUUUCCCUUGAGAUAUUCUGGUAACAUCCUCAUUCAGUACUUCAAUGGUAGUCAACCAACAAUAAUAGUGUAAGAUUUGAGAUCAUUGUGAUUCUCAGCUAUUGUAGUAGGCUUAGAUAUAUGUUAUUGGGAGAAUGAUUUUCUUGUUAAUAGCUCAAUUUUAGCUAGGGGAUGUAUAGUGGUCAGCCUACAAUUACCUAUAAGUCCUCAAUAGUGUAAGCAAAUUGUAUACCUUUGAAGGGAUUGUCCAGGCUUGGACAGUUUUACUGAGCUAAAAGGAAUCAUUAUUAUGGAAACCUUGUCAAUUUAUCCAAAAGACACCUAGAAACAUGGUCAUGGGAAACUACCAUUAACCUACUUGAUCACAUUACUAUAAAACCAAGAAGCCUUUGGCUAAAUGUUUAUUCAUUUAUAACCUUUAUUCUCAUUUAUUGAGACAGGUAACAUUUAAAAAAUUGAUCAGUGUUAUAUAUACAGUUGCUCCUUAACAAUAAGGCCAUGUUCCCAUCAACACAUUUAAGUGAAAUGCAUUUAAUACACCUGGCCCACUUAACAUGACUUAGUAACACAGUACACUGUAGAGCAUUUGUUGUUAGACUAGUAAUCAUGUGGCUGGCUGGGAGCAGGCACAGCAUCAUGGAAUCCUGUGUAGCAUGGAUGAUUAUUUUUGCACCCUCAUAAAGCCCCAAACCUUAAUUUGAGCCAAUAUAAAUCAGGAACUAUAUGUACUACAGUAAUUGUAGUCUUCCCCUGUAUUUCCAGCUUCUUUUCACCUACUCUCUAAUGUAUAGAAGUAUGUCCAAUGUUGCUGCCUUGUGAACACAUAAUUAUUGAUAGAAAAUAAUGUAAUGAAUUGGCCCUCAACUGUUGUCCUUUUGGAAAGACAUUGGUUGGGCUGAUGAUGUAGGUUAGCAGUAAGGGUCCUGCUUUGCAUGCACAAUGCCCUGGGUUCAAUCCCCAGUUAUUUCUCUAACAAAAAAAAAAAA